AACGUUCGCUGGCGGCAGGCUUAACACAUGCAAGUCGAACGCGUGUAGCAAUACACGAGUGGCGCACGGGUGAGUAACGCGUGGAUAUCUGCCUUUUGGUUCGGAAUAACCCCGGGAAACUGGCGUUAAUACCGGAUGGUUCCUACGGGAUAAAGAUUUAUCGCCAAAAGAUGAGUCCGCGUACGAUUAGCUAGUUGGUGAGGUAAUGGCUCACCAAGGCGACGAUCGUUACCUGGUCUGAGAGGCCGAUCAGCCACACUGGGACUGAGACACGGCCCAGACUCCUACGCGAGGCAGCAGUGGGGAAUACUGGACAAUGGGGGCAACCCUGAUCCAGCCAUGCCGCGUGAGUGAUGAAGGCCUUCGGGUUGUAAAGCUCUUUUGGCGGGGACGAUGAUGACGGUACCCGCAGAAUAAGCCCCGGCUAACUUCGUGCCAGCAGCCGCGGUAAGACGAAGGGGGCUAGCGUUGUUCGGAAUUACUGGGCGUAAAGCGAGUGUAGGCGGUUGUCCAAGUUGGAUGUGAAAGCCUUGAGCUCAACUCAAGAAAUGCAUUCAGGACUGGGUAACUAGAGUACCGGAGAGGAUAGUGGAAUUCCCAGUGUAGUGGUGAAAUACGUAGAGAUUGGGAAGAACACCAGUGGCGAAGGCGGCUAUCUGGAC
RNAcentral lists this ribosomal RNA (662 nucleotides) under uncultured bacterium. RNAcentral's name for it is "bacterial SSU rRNA". It matches the Rfam family "Bacterial small subunit ribosomal RNA", at positions 28 to 734 of the family's 1533-position model. The record is from RNAcentral.